UACGAGUCACCUACCCGAAUAAAAAAACGUUUUAUCGUCUGGCUGAACAUUGUAAAAAUCUGGAGAAGCUUCAUUUACACUCCUCUAACUCCUUCCUUGUACAUUUUCCGAAACUUAUAUACCUCAAAAUAUGUAAUUAUGAUUAUAAUUUUCGCAAGUUAAGCAGCCGAUACAAUAAGCAUUUACAAGUUCUUGACAUGAAUUAUUUAUCUUUGGACGCUGAAGUAAUCGCACGCUUAGCUGAACUUCGUGCUCUCAAACAUCUCAUCUGUUAUGAUAUACCAUCACAUUUAGUAUAUCAACUUGCCAAAAUACCACUAGAGAAGAUAUGCAUCAAUAAAAAAAUUACCCAAAUCGAUAUUUUGCGAUUGGUGAAAGAGUGUUUAUCAUUAAAGGAUUUGACUUGCGAUUUUGAUAAGAUUGAUAAUGAAUUUCUUCCCAUUCUAUUGAAUACGUUGGAAGUGAGAGGAUUUCAACCAGAUCGGCCAUUCGAGCUAAAUUUGUCAACCUACAUUGAAAAUAAAACAACUUUUCUGACUAAACUUGGAUCUAUUCCGAAUUCAACUCUUUUGAACUUACAAUUAUCCCGUUAACUACAUCGGUUUUUGACAAUUUUUAUCUUCUGAACUGAUUGAAAACAGUCUUAAAAUUGGCUUUCAUUCAUUUUAAUUUUUUUAGAUCUUGUGCAUAAAACUAUAACCGCUGAGUGUAAUAAGUUGUUGAAAUUAUCCAAACAGAAGGCAUUUUAUAAAUAAUUAGCCUAAGAUCUUUUAUGUAUAUUUAUACUAUAUAUUUUUAAUACAUCCAUAAAUCAA
Drosophila innubila is the source of this 815-nucleotide long non-coding RNA. RefSeq lists it as uncharacterized. The transcript is spliced from 2 exons. The record is from RefSeq and is a predicted model, not a curated record. Lineage: Eukaryota; Metazoa; Arthropoda; Insecta; Diptera; Drosophilidae.